Delitschia confertaspora ATCC 74209 is the source of this 147-nucleotide non-coding RNA. The record is from the annotation of a GenBank genome assembly. Lineage: Eukaryota; Fungi; Ascomycota; Dothideomycetes; Pleosporales; Delitschiaceae.
GGUCUUGUGGUCUAGUGGUAUGGUAAGUCAGCACUACACAACACACCAGUAAUGUAUUAGCACUAACAUGUAAUCUCUAGAUUCUCGCUUAGGGUAUACCCUGAGUUAACUUGCGAGAGGCCCCGCGUUCGAGUCGCGGCAAGACCC